Molecule: ribosomal RNA, 889 nt
Filed under: Klebsiella pneumoniae
Lineage: Bacteria; Pseudomonadati; Pseudomonadota; Gammaproteobacteria; Enterobacterales; Enterobacteriaceae
Description: bacterial SSU rRNA
Rfam family: Bacterial small subunit ribosomal RNA
Source: RNAcentral
CUGCGGGGCGUGCCAAACAAUGCAAGUCGAGCGGUAGCACAGAGAGCUUGCUCUCGGGUGACGAGCGGCGGACGGGUGAGUAAUGUCUGGGAAACUGCCUGAUGGAGGGGGAUAACUACUGGAAACGGUAGCUAAUACCGCAUAAUGUCGCAAGACCAAAGUGGGGGACCUUCGGGCCUCAUGCCAUCAGAUGUGCCCAGAUGGGAUUAGCUAGUAGGUGGGGUAACGGCUCACCUAGGCGACGAUCCCUAGCUGGUCUGAGAGGAUGACCAGCCACACUGGAACUGAGACACGGUCCAGACUCCUACGGGAGGCAGCAGUGGGGAAUAUUGCACAAUGGGCGCAAGCCUGAUGCAGCCAUGCCGCGUGUGUGAAGAAGGCCUUCGGGUUGUAAAGCACUUUCAGCGGGGAGGAAGGCGAUAAGGUUAAUAACCUUGUCGAUUGACGUUACCCGCAGAAGAAGCACCGGCUAACUCCGUGCCAGCAGCCGCGGUAAUACGGAGGGUGCAAGCGUUAAUCGGAAUUACUGGGCGUAAAGCGCACGCAGGCGGUCUGUCAAGUCGGAUGUGAAAUCCCCGGGCUCAACCUGGGAACUGCAUUCGAAACUGGCAGGCUAGAGUCUUGUAGAGGGGGGUAGAAUUCCAGGUGUAGCGGUGAAAUGCGUAGAGAUCUGGAGGAAUACCGGUGGCGAAGGCGGCCCCCUGGACAAAGACUGACGCUCAGGUGCGAAAGCGUGGGGAGCAAACAGGAUUAGAUACCCUGGUAGUCCACGCCGUAAACGAUGUCGAUUUGGAGGUUGUGCCCUUGAGCGUGGCUUCCGGAGCUAACGCGUUAAAUCGACCGCCUGGGGAGUACGGCCGCAGGUUAAAACUCAAAUGAAUUGACGGGG